Molecule: ribosomal RNA, 371 nt
Filed under: uncultured organism
Description: bacterial SSU rRNA
Rfam family: Bacterial small subunit ribosomal RNA
Source: RNAcentral
CGUGAGGGGCGAACGUUGUUCGGUGUCACUGGGCUUAAAGGGCGCGUAGGUGGCUGCGUAAGUAAGGUGUGAAAGCCCUCGGCUUACCCGGGGAAUUGCGCCUUAUACUGCGUGGCUUGAGGAUCUCAGGGGAAUGGGGAACUCCAGGUGUAGCGGUGAAAUGCGCAGAUAUCUGGGGGAAGGCCGGCGGCGAAGGCGCCAUUCUGGGAGAUUCCUGACACUGAGGCGCGAAAGCGUGGGGAGCAAACAGGAUUAGAUACCCUGGUAGUCCACGCCCUAAACGAUGGAUACUAAGUAGGGGACCCUGCAAGGGGUUCCUUGCCGGAGCAAAAGCGUUAAGUAUCCCGCUGGGGAGUAUGGUCGCAAGGCUG